RNAcentral lists this ribosomal RNA (819 nucleotides) under uncultured bacterium. Its description in RNAcentral is "bacterial SSU rRNA". It matches the Rfam family "Bacterial small subunit ribosomal RNA", at positions 62 to 874 of the family's 1533-position model. The record is from RNAcentral.
UCGAGGGGCAGCGAGAGUGAUAGCAAUAUUACUUGUCGGCGACCGGCGCACGGGUGCGUAACGCGUAUGCAACCUACCAUCAACAGGGGGAUAACACUGAGAAAUUGGUACUAAUACCCCAUAAUAUCUCAUGCGGCAUCGCAUGGGGUUGAAAACUCCGGUGGUUGAUGAUGGGCAUGCGUUGUAUUAGCUGGUUGGUGAGGUAACGGCUCACCAAGGCGACGAUGCGUAGGGGUUCUGAGAGGAAGGUCCCCCACACUGGAACUGAGACACGGUCCAGACUCCUACGGGAGGCAGCAGUGAGGAAUAUUGGUCAAUGGCCGUAAGGCUGAACCAGCCAAGUAGCGUGAGGGAAGACUGCCCUAUGGGUUGUAAACCUCUUUUAUGCGGGGAUAAAGGUGUCCACGUGUGGAUGUUUGCAGGUACCGCAUGAAUAAGGACCGGCUAAUUCCGUGCCAGCAGCCGCGGUAAUACGGAAGGUCCGGGCGUUAUCCGGAUUUAUUGGGUUUAAAGGGAGCGUAGGCCGGUCUUUAAGCGUGCCGUGAAAUUUUGUGGCUCAACCAUGAGAGUGCGGCGCGAACUGGAGACCUUGAGUGCGCGGAAGGCAGGCGGAAUUCGUGGUGUAGCGGUGAAAUGCUUAGAUAUCACGAAGAACCCCGAUUGCGAAGGCAGCCUGCCGCAGCGUUACUGACGCUGAAGCUCGAAAGCGCGGGUAUCGAACAGGAUUAGAUACCCUGGUAGUCCGCGCGGUAAACGAUGGAUGCCCGCUGUCGGCGAUAUACAGUCGGCGGCCAAGCGAAAGCGUUAAGCAUCCCACCU